This 344-nucleotide ribosomal RNA is filed under the name uncultured bacterium. RNAcentral's name for it is "bacterial SSU rRNA". It matches the Rfam family "Bacterial small subunit ribosomal RNA", at positions 29 to 358 of the family's 1533-position model. The record is from RNAcentral.
AACGAACGCUGGCGGCGUGGAUAAGACAUGCAAGUCGAACGGGAUUAUUUUUGUAGCAAUACAGAAAUAAUUCAGUGGCGAACGGGUGCGUAACACGUGGGCAAUCUGCCGAAAAGUGGGGNUAGCUCGCCGAAAGGCGAAUUAAUACCGCAUGUGGUGAGGGACGACAUCUUCCUGAAUCCAAAGCCGGGGCAACCUGGCGCUUUUUGUAGGAGCCCGCGGCCUAUCAGCUAGUUGGCGGGGUAACGGCCCACCAAGGCUAUGACGGGUAGCUGGUCUGAGAGGACGACCAGUCACACUGGAACUGAGACACGGUCCAGACACCUACGGGUGGCAGCAGUCGA